Pecten maximus is the source of this 960-nucleotide long non-coding RNA. RefSeq lists it as uncharacterized. The transcript has 5 exons. NCBI's taxonomy places the organism in Eukaryota, Metazoa, Mollusca, Bivalvia, Pectinida, Pectinidae. The record is from RefSeq and is a predicted model, not a curated record.
UGUCUUUAUUUACAGAGUGCCUGACCGGUAGGUAUGGUGUCACAUGUUCAUCGACUUGUCCUGUGACGUGUAAAGACUUCGUGUGUAAUCAACAAACCGGCCAGUGCUUAGACUGCUAUCCUGGAAAGUAUGGAGUGGUGUGUGGGGCUGAUUGUCCGGACACAUGUACGGACAACAUCUGCAGUAAGGACGAUGGACAGUGUGUAACUACUGCCGAUUCUAAAUUGAUCAUAAUAAUUGUUUUGGCUGCUGUUUGUGGGCUGCUGUUAGUUGUGGUGAUAUCUUCAUCAAUAUAUAAGCUGCGAAAAAGACAAAUCAAAAAGAUCUCAUCAAAUACGAGUACAGGUACGACAGAAGAACAGUCCGUCCCGGACACUGGGUAUACGUCUCUUGAUCGUGAUCAAGAUGAAACUCCCCACGUCUAUGAAAUGGUGGUCAACUAAUCAUACGCAUGACAUGCUCAUCAAAUUCAUCAGGUUCAUUCAAUAUCAUACAAGAUCGUUGAUGAAAAAUGUCAGUGAAUUUGAAAUCUUAAGAGUGUAAUCCCUAUUGUCACAUGCACAUUACCCAAUUUCAUUAACCCUACAAUUUCCUGAUAUUUUGAAGACGAAUGUUAUGUUUUUUCAACAUUAAGGAUUAGACGAAGGAAUUAAUUAAUGGAACUCUGAGAAAAUAGUUGAUUUUGUCGAUAAUAUUAAUGAUGAUGCAAUCAAACAUAUCAGUGACUAAAUUGAUAAUUGUAAUUAUAUUAAUGAACUUAACGUUGAUCACUUGAUUGAUAACUGUUGUAAUAAUAUAUGAUUACAUUGCAGCUAAAACCUCACUUAGCACCAAUGUAUACAAUGUAAAUAAGCAGAAAUCAAUUGCUUCCAAGAAACCUUGGUUUGAUCUUAAUCGUAAUAUAUAUGUUAUAGAAAAAUAUACCGACGUUGUAAAGGCAAUCUAAUUAAAAUCUAGAUG